GAUGAACGCUGGCGGCAUGCCUAAUACAUGCAAGUCGAACGAGAGGAAAAGAAGCUUGCUUCUUUGAAUCUAGUGGCGAACGGGUGAGUAACACGUAGGUAACCUGCCCAUGUGCCCGGGAUAACUUCUGGAAACGGAUGCUAAAACCGGAUAGGUAGCAGACAAGCAUUUGACUGCUAUUAAAGUGGCCUUGGCCAUGAACAUGGAUGGACCUGCGGUGCAUUAGCUAGUUGGUGAGGUAACGGCCCACCAAGGCGACGAUACAUAGCCGGCCUGAGAGGGCGGACGGCCACAUUGGGACUGAGACACGGCCCAAACUCCUACGGGAGGCAGCAGUAGGGAAUUUUCGUCAAUGGGGGGAACCCUGAACGAGCAAUGCCGCGUGAGUGAGGAAGGUCUUCGGAUCGUAAAGCUCUGUUGUAAGAGAAAAACGGCACUCAUAGGGAAUGAUGAGUGAGUGAUGGUAUCUUACCAGAAAGUCACGGCUAACUACGUGCCAGCAGCCGCCGUAA
Molecule: ribosomal RNA, 512 nt
Filed under: uncultured bacterium
Lineage: Bacteria
Description: partial 16S ribosomal RNA
Rfam family: Bacterial small subunit ribosomal RNA
Source: RNAcentral